RNAcentral lists this long non-coding RNA (3585 nucleotides) under Lonchura striata (white-rumped munia). RNAcentral's name for it is "domestica (Bengalese finch) lncRNA (ENSLSDG00000003210.1)". The record is from RNAcentral. Lineage: Eukaryota; Metazoa; Chordata; Aves; Passeriformes; Estrildidae.
UCCCAUUUUUGGGGUCCAAAAAUCUUCAUUUUUUAGGUCCAAAAACUCCAAAGUUUUUCUCCCAAAAAAUCCCAAUUUUGGGCCCAAAAUUUUUUCAUUUUCAGAUGGGAAAAAAAUCCCAAUUUUUGUUCAAAAACCUCCAAUUUUUUUUAACCAAAACCCCAAAAUUCGCCGUUUCUCCCCCGAAUCUUUUUCCCACGCUCCCCCCUCAUUUGCAUUUUUGGCCCCUCCCCCCUUUUUAACCCAAAAUUCGCCGAAUUCGCCCCAAAUUUCGCUCCUGGGGCGCCCCCUGGUGGAAAACACCCCAAAAAAGCCAAAUUUGGGGUUUUUUGCCUCAGUUUCCCUGGGAUUUUAAAGGGGUGGGGCCACGUGGAGGCCACGCCCACAUUGGCCACGCCCACCCACGUGACCACGCCCAUUUCCCCCCUCUCCCCACCCCAAAUUUGACUAAAAUUUGAAUUUUUUCGAUGAUUUUGGGCCAAAUUUUUGGGUUUUAAAAAAAAUUUUCCCGGGUGUUUCCCCUGCUUAGGCCACGCCCAUUUUACCCCUAAGCCACGCCCCCUUUCCCCAAAUUUCCUGCCCCCCAAAAUUCCCAAAAAAAUCACAUUUUAAACACAAAUUUUUCUGGUUUUAACCCAAUUUUCCCCACCUCUGCCACGCCCCCUUAGGCCACGCCCUCUCCUUUAAACCACGCCCCCUUCCCCUUCAAACCCCAAAAAACCCCAAAUUUUCCUCAUUUUCCCCCCAAAAAUCCCCAAAUUUUCCUCAGUUUCCCCCAAUUUUUCCUCAGUUUCCCCCCCAAAACCCCAAAUUUCCUCUGUUUCCCUGUUUUUUCCUCAGUUUACCCCUAAAACUCCAAUUUUUCCUCAUUUUCCCCCCCAAACCCUGAUUUUUCCUCAGUUUCCCUCAUUUUUUCCUCACUUUACCCCCAAAGAACCAAGUUUUCCUCAGUUUCCCUCUAAAAAACCCCAAUUUUUCUCAUUUUACCCCCAAAAAAACCCAAACUUUUCUCAUUUUCCCCCAGAAACCCAAAUUUUCCUGUUUCCCUCCAAAAAAACAAAUUUUCUUCAGCUUCCACCAAUUUUUCCUCAGUUUCCCCCGUUUUUUCCUCAGUUUCCCCCCAAAAAACCAAUUUUUCUUCAGUUUCUCCCCCAAAACCACAAUUUUUCCUCAGUUUCCCCACUGUGCCUCAGUUUCCCCAAUUUUUCCUCAGUUGCUCCCCCAAACCCCAUAUUUUCCUCAGUUUCCCUCCAAAAACCUGAAUUUUCUUCAGUUUCCCCAAUUUUUCCUCAGUUUCCCCAUUUUUUCCUCAGUUUCCUCCAUUUUUUCCUCAGUUUCCCCCCAAAACAACAAAUUUUCCUCAGUUUCCCCAAAUUUCCUCAGUUUCCCCCAACAUUUCCUCCCUUUCCCCGCCGUGCCUCAGUUUCCCCAAUUAUUCCUCAGUUUCCCCAAUCUUUCCUCAGUUUCCCCAAUUUUUCCUCAGUUUCCCCCACCAUUUCCUCCCUUUCCCCGCCGUGCCUCAGUUUCCCGAAACUUUUCUCAGUUUCCCCAAACUUUCCUCAGUUUCCCCCACCAUUUCCUCCCUUUCCCCGCCGUGCCUCAGUUCCCCCAACUUUUCCUCAGUUUCCCCAAACUUUCCUCAGUUUCCCCAAUCUUUCCUCAGUUUCCCCCAAUUUUUCCUCCCUUUCCCCGCCGUGCCUCAGUUUCCCCAAUUUUUCCUCAGUUUCCCCAAUUUUUCCUCAGUUUCCCCAAUUUUUCCUCAGUUUCCCCAAACUUUCCUCAGUUUUCCCCAAUUUUUCCUCAGUUUCCCCAAUCUUUCCUCAGUUUCCCCCACCAUUUCCUCCCUUUCCCCGCCAUGCCUCAGUUUCCCCAAUCUUUCCUCAGUUUCCCCCACCAUUUCCUCCCUUCCCCCGCCGUGCCUCAGUUUCCCCCGCCCCGCUCAGCCCCAGCCGGGCGGCCCCGGCGACCAGGCCCGGCGGUACCAGCCGCGGUAGGUGAGGGCCCAGGCGGCCCAGCCCAGCGCGGCGCCGGCGGCGUUGCGGGCCCACGUGUGGCGGUAGCGCAGCGUCGCCACCAGCAGGAGGUGCCACGUCAGCAGCAGCAGCAGCGCCAGCAGGUACAGCACCGACAGCGCCGCCGGCGGCGCCUCGCCGCGGCCGCCGGCAAGAUGGCCGCCGGCGGAGGGCGGCGGCGAGGCGAGGAAAUGGCGGACGGAGGGGUCAACAUGGCCGCCGGAGGGGUCAACAUGGCCGCUGGGGUGGGGGAAGAAGAAGGCGGGAUCAACAUGGCGGCUGGAAUCAAAAUGGCGGCCGGAAUCAAAAUGGCCUCCAGAAUAAAAAUGGCGUCCAGAAUCAAAAUGGCGGCCGGGAUGGAAAUGGUGGCUGGAUUCAAAAUGGCCGCCGGAAUCAAAAUGGCCGCCAGAAUCAAAAUGGCGUCCAGAAUCAAAAUGGCGGCCGGGAUGGAAAUGGUGGCUGGAUUCAAAAUGGCCGCCGGAAUCAAAAUGGCGGCCGGGAUGGAAAUGGUGGCUGGAUUCAAAAUGGCGGCCAGGAUCAAAAUGGCCGCCACGUCUGUCUUCAAAAUGGCGGCCGGAAUCAAAGUGGCUGCCAGAAUCAAAAUGGUGUCUGGAUUCAAAAUGGCGGCCGGGUUCAAAAUGGCCGCCCCAAAAUGGCCGCCCCCCAAGAUGGCCGCUGGGGUACUCAGCAGGCCCCGCCCACUCUGACGUCACUUCCCGUCCCCACCCCUCAUUUGCAUGAGGCUCCGCACACUCGAAGCCGAUUGGUCGGGGAGAGCCGCCCGGUCGCCAUAUUGGGCGUGGCCAUGCCCACGCCGCCAUCUUGGAUUCUUCUUCUUCUAGGUCGUGUCCGGCCGCCAUCUUGGGUUCGGCGGCCAUCUUGGGUUCGGGCGCCGUCUUGAACCAAGGCAGCAUCCUGUACCAGGCCGCCAUCUUGGACACGGCGGACAUCUUGGAUUCCUCAACCACCCUCCCUGCGGCGGCCAUCUUGGACGCGUCCGCCACCUUGGAUGUGUCAGCCAUCUUGUAUGGGUCGGCCAUCUUGGAUGCGUCAGCCAUCUUGGAUGGCUCGACCAUCUUGUACCCAGUGGCCAUCUUGUACGGGUCAGCCAUCUUGUACCUGGCAGCCAUCUUGGAUGUGUCCGCCAUCUUGUACGGGUCGUCCAUCUUGUAUGGCUCAGCCAUCCUGUACCUGGCGGCCAUCUUGUACGGGUCAGCCAUCUUGGACUGCUCUACCAUCCUGUACCCGGCGGCCAUCUUGUACGGGUCAGCCAUCUUGUACGGGUCGUCCAUCCUGUACCCGGCGGCCAUCUUGUACCCGCCGGCCAUCUUGUACGCGUCGUCCGCCUUCCGCCCGGCGGCCAUCUUGCCCAGCCCGUAGAGCCUCCUCCCCAGCGCCGCCGCCUCCUCGGCCAGCCCCAACCCACAAUGCACCAGGGCGAAGGCCUGGGGGGCGGGGCCGAAGCCCUGCCAGCGGUGCCCCGCCCCCCGGCAGGCGGCGGGGUCUCCCAGGGGCAGCAGCAGGGUCCCGCCGCCGGGGGCGGGGCUGGUGCAGGUGCCCGUGGCCGCCUCCA